Long non-coding RNA from Acipenser ruthenus (sterlet), 3002 nucleotides. RefSeq lists it as uncharacterized. The transcript has 3 exons. The record is from RefSeq and is a predicted model, not a curated record. NCBI's taxonomy places the organism in Eukaryota, Metazoa, Chordata, Actinopteri, Acipenseriformes, Acipenseridae.
UAUCAUGUGGCACUUUGUCAAAGGCUUUUUAGAAGUCCAAGUAUAUGAUGCCAUAGGCUUAUCAAUAUGGGCAUAAAAUGUAAUAUCUUAACUAAAGUAGCCUUCUAGUUGUUUAGAUUCACACUAUUUAAUUUUUAGAUUACUCAAGGUUCAAGAAUGUUGUAACACUGUCUUUGUUCUAGGCCAAGACCAGAGAAAUGUGUUCCAGCCUGCCUUUGCAACAGAUUCUGAGAGUUGCAGUAUACUGAAGGACAACUGUAUCAUAGUCCCAGGCAGCGUGAAGUCAAGGCCAAUCAGGGGUUUAACGAGUGUCCCUUUACAGAAGUCUCAGAUGCUGGAUCUGCCCCUUUAGACUGCAACAGCGAGCAAAGUGGUCUCGUUUGACUACAGGGGGACGGAAGGAAAGCAAACGUCCGGAAAGAAAAACUAAAGAAAACAAUUUUAAAGAAAGAGAGAGAAAAGUGGGGAAUCGUUGGACAGCCCCGAUAUUGUUGUGCAGUGAGCUGGAGACCAUAUACCAUACCAUACCAUAGCUGGUAGCCAGACCACGGACCACAGCGCCCUCUACGGGGUCAAAGAAAUCGGUGCAACUCCCAAGAGUAAAAAUAAAACAGAGCACCUGGGUGGUGUUUCAACUACAAUUUCUGUCUCCCGUGUCAGUGAAUACCCACACCCUUCCACACAGGUAUUCAUAGCAAAUACAUUUACUAAACAGUAACCCCGAAGACAGGAGUGCCCAGCUGAUGACCCCUGUGAAGUCCCACACCCAGCCCAUUCCAGACGGGAGUGCCCAGCUGAUGACCCCUGUGAAGUCCUUCACCCAGCCCAUUCCAGACAGGAGUGCCCAGCUGAUGACCCCUAUGAAGUCCUUCACCCAGCCCAUUCCAGAUGGGAGUACCCAGCUGAGGACCUCUGUGAAGUCCCUCACCCAGCCCAUUCCAGAUGGGAGUGCUCACCUGAUGACCCCUGUGAAGUCCUUCACCCAGCCCAUUCCAGAUGGUUGCCAUGCUGAGAUGCAUCCUGCACUGUGGCUGAUCCCUGGACGACAGAGAGUUCAAGGACGCAGAGGUAGAAGGAAAGAGCUGCAAACAACCAACAGUUACUAGAGGUUUUCGACUUAAAACAUAUUCAAGGGAAUUACUUGGAAAAUCAGAGUCUGCACACCUUACCUUUAUAAAGGUUUAGCACAGUAUUUUUGCAGUUUUACCAUACUUUUCCCAUGGUUUACUAUGCAUUUAUCUUAAGCCCCUUUCACACUGGCAUGCUCUAGCCAGGAUCAUGCGGGUUGGCUACGUAAUUUCACACUGCUUUUGGAGAAGUAAGGUCGACCUGGGUGACAGAAGCAAGUACACAAUGUGCAUAUGCAAUGCCCCGGAAGCAGCAACGUUCACAUGAUCACCCUUUCAUCUGUUCAGGCUGUCAAGAUGUCAUGUCUGUUACGGACGCUUCCAUCCAGGCUUCUCUGGUUUGAAUCGUCGGCCCAAAUGUUGAUUAGAGCAAAUGUUUCUUCAUCGCUCCACGCCAUCCUUGCAGCAAUCUGGCUCAUGGUGUGUCUCAAUCAACAAUAAACAGAAAUGACUCGCGGGUUCCUUGCAGAAGUGAAACGUUGUCGUGUACGGUGCACUCACAUAUUUCAAACUGCAUAUGAGUCAUAUCAAAUAGCUUUAUAUUGUGUUUGUUUGUAUAAGAACAAUAUAGGCUAUGUAAUAACCACAGACAGAUGGACACACUGUGAUGACGUUUCUCACAUUUUUGGCAGCUAAACAAUGGGGAGAAUAUGUAUUUGAAUUAUAAAGUGAAUUAUAAUUUAUAAUGAACUAUAAAGUGCAGCACCAAUUCAAUUGAAUAUAAAAGUUUAAAAAAAAAAUUUGCUGAAGUCUGCAAAACAUAAAAGUGCUUAAUUUUGGUUUGAAACUGGAAAAUUAAUGGUUACCAUGCACAGGCAUGAUGGAAAAUACUGUAAAGUGACUGCAUCUGUAUUUGUCACCUUCUUUUUUUGAAAACAUUUUUUGCGAACUCCAUGGCUGAACAUGUAUUUAAGAAAAAUAAACUCGUGCUCAGUUCUUCGCAGUGCUGUGAAAGAGCGGGCUGGAAAUGUCCGCUCCACCCUCCGCUCUAGCAAUUCCCCCACUCCAUAUACAAUUGUCUCACUCCACUCCACUCACACUCUCUGUCCCCAACACAGGCCCGGAUUAAACAAUAUGCCAAUAACACCAUUCACCAUAAUAUACAUAGGGCCCUCAAAAUAUGGGUUAGCGUGGGCCCCCACGUCCUUUAAUCCGGCCCUGAUUCUAGGGCAUUGCCAAGCACUCCCACCUUUCACUUCCCGAGCUUGGCACCUCUCUGACAUCAACCUACCCUGACCCUAACCCAACCCCAACCUUAACCUUAAGCAACCCCAGCCCAAAAACUUAACCCGAACCCAAUCAUGUGAUGCCCUGAAGACAGUUUUUAGUGGACAUUCUUUUGUGCUGCGUGCAGGGGCAGGAUUCCUUGCUAAGAGGAUUUCAGAAAGUCCUGGAUGCUAGGCAGCUAUCUUUUUAUUAUUAAUAACUCAGGAACCGUUUCAUAUUUUUCACCAAAUCUUCUAAAAGCCCUAACAGAAAUUCAGUAACUGUAGCCUAUACAUGACAGCAAAAAACACAAAAAGAAAACAUGCAAGUAUAGGAAGGAAAAAAGGGAACUUUUACUAAAAAACAGGUAUCCAGAUCUCAAAAACCGCACAAGGUGGCAUCAUGAAACUCUCCACGCUUUCACAACAUUGCAAGUCAAUGGAACAUGCAAAUCUGUGGGCAAUUACGACAAACCACGGCAAGUUAUUAAAGUGCAAAUUUAGGGGUUUAACAUUGAGCACCCAACUCAACUCUAACUAUAGUGGUGUUACUGCACCACUAUAAUAUAUUGCGAUGCAGUCCAGGGGUUUGGUGCAUGACUACAUCCCCCGGGGAGGUGCGGGAGGAGAAGAGUAGGUUUGGAUACCAGUAAUUUAUCCGUCCGUUUUU